AUCCAGCUGACAAGUCCCAAAUGGGACGAAACAUGCGUCCUGGAU
This 45-nucleotide non-coding RNA is filed under the name Schistosoma mansoni. Lineage: Eukaryota; Metazoa; Platyhelminthes; Trematoda; Strigeidida; Schistosomatidae. The record is from RNAcentral.